CCUACGGGAGGCAGCAGUGGGGAAUAUUGCACAAUGGGCGCAAGCCUGAUGCAGCAACGCCGCGUGAGGGACGACGGCCUUCGGGUUGUAAACCUCUUUUAGUAGGGAAGAAGCGAAAGUGACGGUACCUGCAGAAAAAGCACCGGCUAACUACGUGCCAGCAGCCGCGGUAAUACGUAGGGUGCAAGCGUUGUCCGGAAUUAUUGGGCGUAAAGAGCUCGUAGGCGGUUUGUCGCGUCUGCUGUGAAAACCCCGAGGCUCAACCUCGGGCCUGCAGUGGGUACGGGCAGACUAGAGUGCGGUAGGGGAGAUUGGAAUUCCUGGUGUAGCGGUGGAAUGCGCAGAUAUCAGGAGGAACACCGAUGGCGAAGGCAGAUCUCUGGGCCGUAACUGACGCUGAGGAGCGAAAGCAUGGGGAGCGAACAGGAUUAGAUACCCUGGUAGUCCAUGCCGUAAACGUUGGGAACUAGAUGUAGGGACCAUUCCACGGUUUCUGUGUCGCAGCUACGACAUUAACGUUACCCGUCCGUCGGGUAGGUACGGCCGGCGACGGACGUAAACGUACGAAAGAAGUAGACGGCGNGAGACGNGCCGACGACGACGACGAGGAGGUAGG
Molecule: ribosomal RNA, 616 nt
Filed under: uncultured bacterium
Lineage: Bacteria
Description: partial 16S ribosomal RNA
Rfam family: Bacterial small subunit ribosomal RNA (bases 1-527)
Source: RNAcentral